UUCAUGUCUUGCUCAAUUUAAAUCCCACGUGAGACAGCUCACUUUUCGAGGUUCAUUUAAAUUCCAUUGCGCGACGUAGAUCGCGAGAGACGUGCGUAGAUCAGCUGAUUCGAAAACAGAGCGUGUAUUAACGUCGAUAAAAGGACGUUAAGACUCCAACUAAAGCCUGUGCAAUUAGGAAAAGUACUGCACUGACGAAUAACAUGAAGGAUUGCGUAUAUACCAGUAGCAUGUAUAUACAAUACCAACGUUCCUAGCACGUCUAACGCAUAAUUAUGCGUUGCACGAGAUUUUAACGAAAGUAACGCCAGGAAGAAAAGAAAAGUAAUGAGAGAGACGUUAGAGAAUUUCCUGGAUAGUUGGCGCCAACUGUGACCUCCUUUAAUGAGGCGUGCUCGAGGAAGGCACGCGUUUAACUGGCACAAUGUUUCUUGCGGAGAGCUCUACUCACGCUACUUGCUUGCUGGCUGCUCCCCUCUCGUAAAUUAUUCCGCGAGGGAUCAAGGCCCCGCGAGUAACAAUGAACUUUUGGUGCCCUCUCAUAAUGUCGCGUCAUCGCGAACAAAUUCAAUGUCAUCAAAUUGCUUAUGUAUCACAUUCUGUGUUUGUUCAAAUAGAAAAAAUAAAAAGUAAGUAAAAGGAAAAAGCGCGAGAUACAUGAAUUUUUGAUGAAAGAAUGCAACGUGGCAAAAUGCAUCUAUAGGGUGCAUGCCUUAACGAUAACAACCGAUCUCGAGACGCUUCAUCGAUAUUUUGCGUGAGAUUCAUACUGCAAAUGAAAAAAAAGCGAAAAAAGCGAAAAAAAAGAGACAGAGAAGAAGACUCCCGGCGAUCGCAUUAUUCAGAUUAGGGCAUCGACAGAGGAACGGCUGCAUGGAUAUGUGAGAAGAAACAUGUCCUCUCUUUCUUUCUCUCACAUGGACGCAGUGUGAGAGACGUGUGUAGACAUUUGUAUCGGUAGAAGAUAAUGCAUCUGAUCGUGCACAAGCGAAGAAUGUUAAUGGUGGUUCGGUUUUGUAUGCAGGAAGUGACGGCCGUCUCUUGUGUCGUGUAGCGGGGCCUGGCGCCCGGUGUCCGCUCGGAAAAAAGCCCCCAACGUAAAUGCGAUAAAGAGAGAAAGAAAGAGAAGAAAAGGGGGAGGGAGGAAUAUGAAAAAUUGACGGAUUCACCCAUAGCCGCGAACCGAGGAGAGCGGCAGCAAGUUGCUCUUUUAAAUCUCAUCGUAAACACGCGUUCGCAGUGGCUCUCAUAUCCAUUGAUAUCGAACGAUUUUAUUUUAAGGGAUGUUUUUAUCGAAAUUUUUACAAA
Polistes canadensis is the source of this 1308-nucleotide long non-coding RNA. RefSeq lists it as uncharacterized. The transcript has 3 exons. Lineage: Eukaryota; Metazoa; Arthropoda; Insecta; Hymenoptera; Vespidae. The record is from RefSeq and is a predicted model, not a curated record.